Transfer RNA from Camelus ferus (Wild Bactrian camel), 72 nucleotides. It matches the Rfam family "tRNA". Rfam says of the family: Transfer RNA (tRNA) molecules are approximately 80 nucleotides in length. Their secondary structure includes four short double-helical elements and three loops (D, anti-codon, and T loops). Lineage: Eukaryota; Metazoa; Chordata; Mammalia; Artiodactyla; Camelidae. The record is from Rfam.
GAGGGUAUAGCUCAGGGGUAGAGUGCGUGUCUAGCAUGCACGAGGUCCUGGGUUCAAUCCCCAGUGCCUUCA